This 1083-nucleotide long non-coding RNA is filed under the name Chloebia gouldiae (Gouldian finch). RNAcentral describes it as "Erythrura gouldiae (Gouldian finch) lncRNA (ENSEGOG00005016496.1)". The record is from RNAcentral. Lineage: Eukaryota; Metazoa; Chordata; Aves; Passeriformes; Passeridae.
GGAAAGAGCAAAGUACAGCUGGAGCCAGGUAGGUGCAGCCAUGAUCCCAGAACUGGGGCAGUGGUGUGCAGUGGAACGGGGCCUUUUUGCACUGUAGCACCUCUUGUGGAUCAAAGGUACCUUCAAGGUAUCACAUGUGGCACGCCCUGAGCUGACUCAGCCAUCCGUGCCAGGGCAGGGAUUUUGGGCAUUGCUUGAAGUCAAAGCUGACUGCAGGACCUGACCUGCCCAGCCCAGCCCUUGUGAACGGCCUCUGGUGUUCAGAUUGUGAGAUGGGAAGGAUCCACACUGAGGAUUUGAAGCCUUUUGCAAUUCAAGAUUUGUGUUUUUCAGGACUGGGUCCCAGCUGAGUCACUGUUGCUGACUGGGUCAGCGUGGGCUCUUCUGAAGUCACAGCCAGCCUGCCUCUGAUCAGAUGAACCGACCUGCUUAAAAGAAGACUUCAAAAGCUGAAGCACAGGAACCCCAGGACAGAUGAAUAUUGCUACCCUGUAUUUGCAGGUACUCCUGGCUCUGCUCUGUGUUUGGUUCUUGCAGGCAGCUCCCGUUUAUAACCACCCAGCUAUUGUAGGAACCAUCCUGUGGCCACCUGCUCUCCCCAGGUGUCAGCUUGUACUGCAGUCACUACCCAAAUCUUGCUGUGGAUCUGGGCUUUGGUGACCAUUCUCAGGUAAUUCCAGGAAAUUGCCAUCAUGAGCCUCUUCACAGCCGGUAGCUAAAUGGCACUGCUUUACAGCAAUACUGAGCAGUGCUGCAGUUUUGUGAGUGUGGCUCAAGGCUGGCUGCAGUACACCACAGCUUUGUGCUGCCUUCCAGUUGGUUGUUGAUUUUUCCAGGACUGUCCUUUUUUUGGCAAUUUCUGUGUCAGUCUAUUCCUCUGGAGGACUCAUGAAGCUCUAGCAGUGUACAAACCUGACUUUGCAAAAAACUGUGACGUUCCUGCAGUUUGUUUGCCUGCCAGUGGAUCUGCAUCACUUUAUCCAUUUCAUUUGUUCUGAAUUUCCCUUCUAAGAAAAAAAUCAAGAAACAGGAGAUGCCUGGGGGAAUGCUCUUGUCUUUUCCUCUGUCUGGCUCACAGAGCUG